RNAcentral lists this ribosomal RNA (554 nucleotides) under uncultured bacterium. RNAcentral describes it as "bacterial SSU rRNA". It matches the Rfam family "Archaeal small subunit ribosomal RNA", at positions 724 to 1275 of the family's 1478-position model. The record is from RNAcentral.
AGUGAAUAGAUACCCCGGUAGUCCUAGCCGUAAACGAUACUCGCUAGGUGUCGGCCACGGUGCGACCGUUGUCGGUGCCGUAGGGAAAGCCGUGAAGUGAGCCACCUGGGAAGUACGGCCGCAAGGCUGAAACUUAAAGGAAUUGGCGGGGGAGCACCACAACGGGUGGAGCUUGCGGUUUAAUUGGAUUCAACGCCGGAAAUCUUACCGGGACCGACAGCAAUAUGAAGGCCAGGCUGAAGACUUUGCCGGAUUAGCUGAGAGGUGGUGCAUGGCCGUCGUCAGUUCGUACUGUGAAAGCAUCCUGUUAAGUCAGGCAACGAGCGAGACCCACGCCCACAGUUGCCAGCGUACUCUCCGGAGUGACGGGUACACUGUGGGGACCGCCGCUGCUAAAGCGGGGGAAGGAAUGGGCAACGGUAGGUCAGUAUGCCCCGAAUAUCCCGGGCUACACGCGAGCUACAAUGGUUGGUACAAUGGGUAUCUACCCCGAAAGGGGAUGGAAGUCUCCUAAAGCCAAUCUUAGUUCGGAUUGAGGGCUGCAACUCGCCCUC